GGGCGGUGUCUCCUGUCUAACCCCAACAUCCUAAUACCCUGGCUAGGGGCGGUGUCUCCUGUCUAACCCCAACAUCCUAAUACCCAGGCUAGGGGCGGUGUCUCCCGUCUAACCCCCAACAUCCUAAUACCCAGGCUAGGGGCGGUGUCUCCCGUCUAACCCCCAACAUCCUAAUACCCAGGCUAGGGGUGGUGUCUCCUGUCUACAUCCUAAUACCCUGGCUAGGGUCUGUGUCAGGACAGUAGAGGGCCUCCACUAUACUACCCUCCAGAACAACACACCAGACCCUCCACUAUACUACCCUCCAGAACAACACACCAGACCCUCCACUAUACUACCCUCCAUACCAAUCACAGACCCUCCACUACACGACCCUCCAGACCAAUAACAGACCCUCCACUAUACUACCCUCCAGACCAAUAACAGACCCUCCACUAUACUACCCUCCAGAACAGACCCUCCACUAUACUACCCUCCAGAACAAUCACACCAGACCCUGAACUAUACUACCCUCCAGAACAAUCACACCAGACCCUGCACUAUACUACCCUCCAGAACAAUCACACCAGACCCUCCACACUAC
Long non-coding RNA from Oncorhynchus tshawytscha (Chinook salmon), 583 nucleotides. NCBI's taxonomy places the organism in Eukaryota, Metazoa, Chordata, Actinopteri, Salmoniformes, Salmonidae. The record is from Ensembl.